Molecule: ribosomal RNA, 251 nt
Filed under: uncultured bacterium
Lineage: Bacteria
Description: partial 16S ribosomal RNA
Rfam family: Bacterial small subunit ribosomal RNA
Source: RNAcentral
CUUUUGCUGGCGACCGGCGCACGGGUGAGUAACACGUAUCCAACCUGCCCUUUACUCGGGGAUAGCCUUUCGAAAGAAAGAUUAAUACCCGAUAGCAUAAUGAUUCCGCAUGGUUUCAUUAUUAAAGGAUUCCGGUAAAGGAUGGGGAUGCGUUCCAUUAGGUUGUUGGUGAGGUAACGGCUCACCAAGCCUACGAUGGAUAGGGGUUCUGAGAGGAAGGUCCCCCACAUUGGAACUGAGACACGGUCCAA